This 354-nucleotide ribosomal RNA is filed under the name Triticum aestivum (bread wheat). RNAcentral's name for it is "partial small subunit ribosomal RNA". The record is from RNAcentral. Lineage: Eukaryota; Viridiplantae; Streptophyta; Magnoliopsida; Poales; Poaceae.
AUGAUCUUUGGAGCAGGGAAAUCUUGUAUUCUUUUUUUUCUCGAGAAAACGCAAAAGAGUUUGCGUUUCAUUUCAUUGAACAGGAAGAGAACAGCAGUACAGGUACAACCUCCCAAGAGGAGGGACACACGCACACACAUCAUUGUCCUCACCAAACGAGCAGGCGAGGAGGUGCUACCAGCUACAGACUGCAACUACGAAAGGUCUAGCCUUGUCCAGCCUCCAACCAUGAACGGCGAGGUGACUAGACUCAGAGCCUCAAGGCCGUGUCACAGCCGUUGCCAGGCGCCUCCAAAGAAGACAGCAUCUCCAGGGCUGUCCAGACCAACGUACCUUCCACCCAUAAGUGCCUAA